AAUGGGUCAGCGACUUAUAUUCUGUAGCAAGGUUAACCGAAUAGGGGAGCCGAAGGGAAACCGAGUCUUAACUGGGCGUUAAGUUGCAGGGUAUAGACCCGAAACCCGGUGAUCUAGCCAUGGGCAGGUUGAAGGUUGGGUAACACUAACUGGAGGACCGAACCGACUAAUGUUGAAAAAUUAGCGGAUGACUUGUGGCUGGGGGUGAAAGGCCAAUCAAACCGGGAGAUAGCUGGUUCUCCCCGAAAGCUAUUUAGGUAGCGCCUCGUGAAUUCAUCUCCGGGGGUAGAGCACUGUUUCGGCAAGGGGGUCAUCCCGACUUACCAACCCGAUGCAAACUGCGAAUACCGGAGAAUGUUAUCACGGGAGACACACGGCGGGUGCUAACGUCCGUCGUGAAGAGGGAAACAACCCAGACCGCCAGCUAAGGUCCCAAAGUCAUGGUUAAGUGGGAAACGAUGUGGGAAGGCCCAGACAGCCAGGAUGUUGGCUUAGAAGCAGCCAUCAUUUAAAGAAAGCGUAAUAGCUCACUGGUCGAGUCGGCCUGCGCGGAAGAUGUAACGGGGCUAAACCAUGCACCGAAGCUGCGGCAGCGACGCUGAUGCGUUGUUGGGUAGGGGAGCGUUCUGUAAGCCUGUGAAGGUGUGCUGUGAGGCAUGCUGGAGGUAUCAGAAGUGCGAAUGCUGACAUAAGUAACGAUAAAGCGGGUGAAAAGCCCGCUCGCCGGAAGACCAAGGGUUCCUGUCCAACGUUAAUCGGGGCAGGGUGAGUCGACCCCUAAGGCGAGGCCGAAAGGCGUAGUCGAUGGGAAACAGGUUAAUAUUCCUGUACUUGGUGUUACUGCGAAGGGGGGACGGAGAAGGCUAUGUUGGCCGGGCGACGGUUGUCCCGGUUUAAGCGUGUAGGCUGGUUUUCCAGGCAAAUCCGGAAAAUCAAGGCUGAGGCGUGAUGACGAGGCACUACGGUGCUGAAGCAACAAAUGCCCUGCUUCCAGGAAAAGCCUCUAAGCAUCAGGUAACAUCAAAUCGUACCCCAAACCGACACAGGUGGUCAGGUAGAGAAUACCAAGGCGCUUGAGAGAACUCGGGUGAAGGAACUAGGCAAAAUGGUGCCGUAACUUCGGGAGAAGGCACGCUGAUAUGUAGGUGAAGUCCCUCGCGGAUGGAGCUGAAAUCAGUCGAAGAUACCAGCUGGCUGCAACUGUUUAUUAAAAACACAGCACUGUGCAAACACGAAAGUGGACGUAUACGGUGUGACGCCUGCCCGGUGCCGGAAGGUUAAUUGAUGGGGUCAGCGCAAGCGAAGCUCUUGAUCGAAGCCCCGGUAAACGGCGGCCGUAACUAUAACGGUCCUAAGGUAGCGAAAUUCCUUGUCGGGUAAGUUCCGACCUGCACGAAUGGCGUAAUGAUGGCCAGGCUGUCUCCACCCGAGACUCAGUGAAAUUGAACUCGCUGUGAAGAUGCAGUGUACCCGCGGCAAGACGGAAAGACCCCGUGAACCUUUACUAUAGCUUGACACUGAACAUUGAGCCUUGAUGUGUAGGAUAGGUGGGAGGCUUAGAAGUGUGGACGCCAGUCUGCAUGGAGCCGACCUUGAAAUACCACCCUUUAAUGUUUGAUGUUCUAACGUUGACCCGUAAUCCGGGUUGCGGACAGUGUCUGGUGGGUAGUUUGACUGGGGCGGUCUCCUCCUAAAGAGUAACGGAGGAGCACGAAGGUUGGCUAAUCCUGGUCGGACAUCAGGAGGUUAGUGCAAUGGCAUAAGCCAGCUUGACUGCGAGCGUGACGGCGCGAGCAGGUGCGAAAGCAGGUCAUAGUGAUCCGGUGGUUCUGAAUGGAAGGGCCAUCGCUCAACGGAUAAAAGGUACUCCGGGGAUAACAGGCUGAUACCGCCCAAGAGUUCAUAUCGACGGCGGUGUUUGGCACCUCGAUGUCGGCUCAUCACAUCCUGGGGCUGAAGUAGGUCCCAAGGGUAUGGCUGUUCGCCAUUUAAAGUGGUACGCGAGCUGGGUUUAGAACGUCGUGAGACAGUUCGGUCCCUAUCUGCCGUGGGCGCUGGAGAACUGAGGGGGGCUGCUCCUAGUACGAGAGGACCGGAGUGGACGCAUCACUGGUGUUCGGGUUGUCAUGCCAAUGGCACUGCCCGGUAGCUAAAUGCGGAAGAGAUAAGUGCUGAAAGCAUCUAAGCACGAAACUUGCC
This 2199-nucleotide ribosomal RNA is filed under the name Escherichia coli. RNAcentral describes it as "partial 23S ribosomal RNA". It matches the Rfam family "Bacterial large subunit ribosomal RNA", at positions 614 to 2798 of the family's 2925-position model. Lineage: Bacteria; Pseudomonadati; Pseudomonadota; Gammaproteobacteria; Enterobacterales; Enterobacteriaceae. The record is from RNAcentral.